CCGCUAAUACCGCAGUACCGCCCGAAGGGGAAAGCGGGGGAUCUUCGGACCUCGUGCUAUAGGAGGAGCCUGCGUCGGAUUAGCUAGUUGGUGAGGUAAAGGCUCACCAAGGCGACGAUCCGUAGCUGGUCUGAGAGGAUGAUCAGCCACACCGGAACUGAGACACGGUCCGGACUCCUACGGGAGGCAGCAGUGGGGAAUAUUGCGCAAUGGGCGAAAGCCUGACGCAGCCAUACCGCGUGCGUGAAGAAGGCCUUCGGGUUGUAAAGCACUUUCAGUGGGGAGGAAAAGCUGGUGGCUAAUAUCCAUCGGCCGUGACGCUACCCACAGAAGAAGCACCGGCUAAUUCCGUG
This 353-nucleotide ribosomal RNA is filed under the name uncultured bacterium. RNAcentral's name for it is "bacterial SSU rRNA". It matches the Rfam family "Bacterial small subunit ribosomal RNA", at positions 160 to 507 of the family's 1533-position model. The record is from RNAcentral.